This is a long non-coding RNA of Phyllopteryx taeniolatus (common seadragon), 507 nucleotides long. RefSeq lists it as uncharacterized. The transcript is spliced from 3 exons. Lineage: Eukaryota; Metazoa; Chordata; Actinopteri; Syngnathiformes; Syngnathidae. The record is from RefSeq and is a predicted model, not a curated record.
UGAUGUUGGACGAGAAGACCUAGCUCUCAGUCGCCGCUCGAAUUCAUUUCAAAGUGUUCUACAGGGUUGAGGUCGGGAUUGUGCAGGCCAGGAAGGAAGAAAACAGGAAGAGGCCAUCUCCAAACUGUUCCUACAAAGUGGGAAAUGUCCAAUAUAUUCGCCCCUGAGCUCAUAUUAAACCAUAUGGAUUUAGAAUAAGAUACCACUUAAAAUCAUUUGGAAGUCAAGGCAGAUGGAAGAGAGGGCCUCCGCUUCAGGCCAAGCAGUGGAUAUCGGUGAACCUUCCCCCAGGGUAUUGAAUCGAACGCAACUGGACUGUUCUGGUUGUGUUACAAGACGUUUCGCCUCCCAUCCCAGCAGGCUUCACUUUUUUGAUGUAAAAAGAUGCGCAAAAAGAAAUCCAGAUCAGCUCACAACUGUAAGUACAUGUACAGGAUGACGUUCAUCGUCAUGAUUUAUUCUGUAGCUUGUUUUUUUUUUUUUUUACAUGUAAUGAAAUAGAAUACA